GAUCCUGGCUCAGGAUGAACGCUAGCUACAGGCUUAACACAUGCAAGUCGAGGGGCAGCAUGGUCUUAGCUUGCUAAGGCCGAUGGCGACCGGCGCACGGGUGAGUAACACGUAUCCAACCUGCCGUCUACUCUUGGACAGCCUUCUGAAAAGGGAAGAUUUAAAUACAAGAUGGCAUCGUGAGUCCGCAUGUUCACAUGAUUAAAGGUAUUCCGGUAGACGAUGGGGAUGCCG
This 234-nucleotide ribosomal RNA is filed under the name uncultured bacterium. RNAcentral's name for it is "partial 16S ribosomal RNA". It matches the Rfam family "Bacterial small subunit ribosomal RNA", at positions 15 to 236 of the family's 1533-position model. The record is from RNAcentral.